This 248-nucleotide ribosomal RNA is filed under the name uncultured Actinomycetales bacterium. Its description in RNAcentral is "partial 16S ribosomal RNA". It matches the Rfam family "Bacterial small subunit ribosomal RNA", at positions 82 to 334 of the family's 1533-position model. The record is from RNAcentral. Lineage: Bacteria; Bacillati; Actinomycetota; Actinomycetes; Actinomycetales.
CUUGGGUACUCGAGUGGCGAACGGGCGAGUAAUACGUGGGUGAUCUGCCCUGCACUUCGGGAUAAGCCUGGGAAACUGGGUCUAAUACCGGAUAGGACCACAUUUUGGAUGGUGUGGUGGAAAGUUUUUCGGUGUGGGAUGAGCUCGCGGCCUAUCAGCUUGUUGGUGGGGUAAUGGCCUACCAAGGCGUCGACGGGUAGCCGGCCUGAGAGGGUGUACGGCCACAUUGGGACUGAGAUACGGCCCAG